CCUGACAAUAAAAUCACCUCAUAAAGCAGCUAAUAAACAAACAUUAACUCAUUCAACUAGACAUGCGUCAUCAUCUGCAGCUUUACGCAAAGGCAUUUCAUUGGAUGUAAUCCAUAAGACUGCAGGUUGGUCCGAAAAGUCACAAACUUUUGCCAAAACCUACAAUCUGCCUCUAGCUGCAGAGACCGAUUUUGCCAAGGCAAUUAUGCAAUGAGUCAUGUGCCUUUUUUCCUUUUCGUUAUUAAAAGAAUAUAUGUUUUGUUUAUCUUUAAUUUUACAAUGUAGACGCUCAAAUAAACUUUUGAUGUUA
Molecule: long non-coding RNA, 310 nt
Organism: Tribolium castaneum (red flour beetle)
Lineage: Eukaryota; Metazoa; Arthropoda; Insecta; Coleoptera; Tenebrionidae
Exons: 2
Source: RefSeq, a predicted model, not a curated record